Molecule: ribosomal RNA, 324 nt
Filed under: uncultured Proteiniphilum sp.
Lineage: Bacteria; Pseudomonadati; Bacteroidota; Bacteroidia; Bacteroidales; Dysgonomonadaceae
Description: bacterial SSU rRNA
Rfam family: Bacterial small subunit ribosomal RNA
Source: RNAcentral
CUCGUGCCGUGAGGUGUCGGCUUAAGUGCCAUAACGAGCGCAACCCUCAUCAUUAGUUACCAUCAGGUAAGGCUGGGGACUCUAAUGAGACUGCCAUCGUAAGAUGUGAGGAAGGUGGGGAUGACGUCAAAUCAGCACGGCCCUUACGUCCGGGGCGACACACGUGUUACAAUGGGUGGUACAAAGGGCAGCUACCUGGCGACAGGAUGCUAAUCUCGAAAACCGCUCUCAGUUCGGAUCGGAGUCUGCAACUCGACUCCGUGAAGCUGGAUUCGCUAGUAAUCGCGCAUCAGCCACGGCGCGGUGAAUACGUUCCCGGGCCUU